This 425-nucleotide ribosomal RNA is filed under the name uncultured bacterium. Its description in RNAcentral is "partial 16S ribosomal RNA". It matches the Rfam family "Bacterial small subunit ribosomal RNA", at positions 354 to 796 of the family's 1533-position model. The record is from RNAcentral.
GUGGGGAAUCUUAGACAAUGGGGGCAACCCUGAUCUAGCCAUGCCGCGUGAGUGAUGAAGGCCUUAGGGUUGUAAAGCUCUUUCAGCUGGGAAGAUAAUGACGGUACCAGCAGAAGAAGCCCCGGCUAACUCCGUGCCAGCAGCCGCGGUAAUACGGAGGGGGCUAGCGUUGUUCGGAAUUACUGGGCGUAAAGCGCACGUAGGCGGAUUGGAAAGUUGGGGGUGAAAUCCCGGGGCUCAACCCCGGAACUGCCUCCAAAACUACCAGUCUUGAGGUCGAUAGAGGUGAGUGGAAUUCCGAGUGUAGAGGUGAAAUUCGUAGAUAUUCGGAGGAACACCAGUGGCGAAGGCGGCUCACUGGCUCGAUACUGACGUUGAGGUGCGAAAGCGUGGGGAGCAAACAGGAUUAGAAACCCGGGUAGUCC